GACGAACGCUGGCGGCGUGCUUAACACAUGCAAGUCGAACGGUAAGGCCCUCCGGGGUACACGAGUGGCGAACGGGUGAGUAACACGUGGGUGAUCUGCCCUGCACUUCGGGAUAAGCCUGGGAAACUGGGUCUAAUACCGGAUAGGACCACUGCCUGCAUGGGUGGUGGUGGAAAGCUUUUGCGGUGUGGGAUGGGCCCGCGGCCUAUCAGCUUGUUGGUGGGGUGAUGGCCUACCAAGGCGACGACGGGUAGCCGGCCUGAGAGGGUGACCGGCCACACUGGGACUGGGAGAAGGCCCAGACUCCUACGGGAGGCAGCAGUGGGGAAUAUUGCACAAUGGGCGCAAGCCUGAUGCAGCGACGCCGCGUGAGGGAUGACGGCCUUCGGGUUGUAAACCUCUUUCAGCACCGACGAAGCGCAAGUGACGGUAGGUGCAGAAGAAGGACCGGCCAACUACGUGCCAGCCGCCGCCGUAA
RNAcentral lists this ribosomal RNA (478 nucleotides) under uncultured bacterium. RNAcentral's name for it is "partial 16S ribosomal RNA". It matches the Rfam family "Bacterial small subunit ribosomal RNA", at positions 28 to 523 of the family's 1533-position model. The record is from RNAcentral.